This 254-nucleotide ribosomal RNA is filed under the name uncultured bacterium. Its description in RNAcentral is "partial 16S ribosomal RNA". It matches the Rfam family "Bacterial small subunit ribosomal RNA", at positions 524 to 776 of the family's 1533-position model. The record is from RNAcentral.
UACGAAGGGGGCUAGCGUUGCUCGGAAUCACUGGGCGUAAAGCGCACGUAGGCGGCUUUUUAAGUCAGGGGUGAAAUCCUGGAGCUCAACUCCAGAACUGCCUUUGAUACUGAGAAGCUUGAGUCCGGGAGAGGUGAGUGGAACUGCGAGUGUAGAGGUGAAAUUCGUAGAUAUUCGCAAGAACACCAGUGGCGAAGGCGGCUCACUGGCCCGAUACUGACGCUGAGGCACGAAAGCGUGGGGGAGCAAACAGG